AUACUUAGGGUGCAAGCGUUAAUCGGAAUUACUGGGCGUAAAGCGCUCGUAGGCGGCUUGUAAAGUCGGAUGUGAAAUCCCCGGGCUCAACCUGGGAACUGCAUUCGAUACUGGCAGGCUAGAGUAUAGUAGAGGCAAGUGGAAUUUCGGGUGUAGCGGUGAAAUGCGUAGAUAUCCGAAGGAACAUCAGUGGCGAAGGCGACUUGCUGGACUAAUACUGACGCUGAGGAGCGAAAGCGUGGGGAGCAAACGGGAUUAGAAACCCCAGUAGUCC
RNAcentral lists this ribosomal RNA (274 nucleotides) under uncultured bacterium. RNAcentral describes it as "partial 16S ribosomal RNA". It matches the Rfam family "Bacterial small subunit ribosomal RNA", at positions 523 to 796 of the family's 1533-position model. The record is from RNAcentral.